AUACCAUGGUGAGGACAUCUCUUAAGUAACUCCUUAAAUCUUUCUCAUACAUCAUGGAAGCUUUCAUCUUUAAGUUGAUGGAAAGAUGUAAUCUCAUUUCUCAAUUU
RNAcentral lists this small nucleolar RNA (107 nucleotides) under Citrus sinensis (sweet orange). Its description in RNAcentral is "Plant small nucleolar RNA R71". It matches the Rfam family "Plant small nucleolar RNA R71". From Rfam's summary of the family: R71 is a member of the C/D box family of snoRNAs containing the C (UGAUGA) and D (CUGA) box motifs. Multiple nearly identical copies of this snoRNA have been identified in Arabidopsis, and it is thought to function as a 2'-O-ribose methylation guide for 18S ribosomal RNA. Lineage: Eukaryota; Viridiplantae; Streptophyta; Magnoliopsida; Sapindales; Rutaceae. The record is from Rfam by way of RNAcentral.